GAUCCUGGCUCAGGAUGAACGCUAGCUACAGGCUUAACACAUGCAAGUCGAGGGGAAACGAUAGAGAAAGCUUGCUUUUUUCUAGGGCGUCGACCGGCGCACGGGUGAGUAACGCGUAUCCAACCUGCCCAUCACUUGGGGAUAACCUUGCGAAAGUAAGACUAAUACCCAAUGACGUCUCUAGAAGACAUCUGAAGGAGAUUAAAGAUUUAUCGGUGAUGGAUGGGGAUGCGUCUGAUUAGCUUGUUGGCGGGGUAACGGCCCACCAAGGCGACGAUCAGUAGGGGUUCUGAGAGGAAGGUCCCCCACAUUGGAACUGAGACACGGUCCAAACUCCUACGGGAGGCAGCAGUGAGGAAUAUUGGUCAAUGGACGAGAGUCUGAACCAGCCAAGUAGCGUGCAGGAUGACGGCCCUAUGGGUUGUAAACUGCUUUUAUAAGGGAAUAAAGUGGGAGUCGUGACUCUUUUUGCAUGUACCUUAUGAAUAAGGACCGGCUAAUUCCGUG
Molecule: ribosomal RNA, 507 nt
Filed under: uncultured bacterium
Lineage: Bacteria
Description: bacterial SSU rRNA
Rfam family: Bacterial small subunit ribosomal RNA
Source: RNAcentral